GAAUGCCAGUAGAAUGGAGAGUCAUAGGGGCUCAAAAACAGAGAAACCAGGAACAUUGAGGAGGAAGUUAACACUGCUGUAUGUUUCUGUAUGGGUUUCUGGCUGUUUUUCUCUGCAUGGAUCUGUGUGUCUGUGUGUGCUGAUGACCUGGAGAGGUUUGUGGGGUACGUGAAUGAGGGGCUUCUGUGCUGUGUGUCGGGAUGUGUUGGAGCGCCCCCUCCAGGCCCCUUGUGAACAUGCCUACUGCGACGCCUGCAUCAGCUCCUGGCUCAUACACCACCACUCCUGCCCUGAGGACAGACUUCCACUGGACAUCAGCACUCUGAGACCACUGCACAGGUACAUGCGUAAUGACCUGUCCAGGCUCCAGAUCCGUUGUGUUAACUCUGGCCAGGGCUGUGAUGCCGUGUGCUGCCUGGAGACAGUUCACACACACGAGGACGAGUGUCCAUUCACCUUCAUAUCCUGCCCCUCCACAGGUUGUCUGGUGCAGGUGGAGAGGAGGGGUCUGGAGUCUCACCUGUUGGAAGUGUGAGUUCCGCAGCAGGGCGUGUCCUAGCGGCUGUGGCCACACCCUCCUCUCUGUAGACCAAUCACAGCACAACUCUGUUGCGGAGCUACGAACAGAAUUGGAGCUGCUCAGGGCAGAUGUUGGGUAAGGUGGAGGAGGUGAGGCGUGAGAUGGAGUCGAGGCUGGACUCUCAGAGGAGACACAUGGUGCAGAAAGAGUCUCUGCUGAAGAGUGAGGUGGAGGACCUCAAGGGCCAGGUGUCGAGGGUGAUGUGUGGGCUCUCUUGGGGGCAGAGCGCCUGCGGAGACAGGAGCUGGCAGAAGCGGAUCUAGAGAAGAGGGAGCUACUGGAGAUGCUCCGGAGCCUGCAGCCAUGCAGGGGCCAGCGGAACAGAGACAAGCCAAUCAGAGGACUGCAUCAAGAAGACAGGACAAUUAGGAGCCAGCUUCAAGUGGAACACCCAACCAGGGGCCUGCUGAGGUCAGGGCCAACACAGGCUUCUACCCAAUCACUACCCUCGGCUUUGCCUACUCCAGCCUUAUACCCGCCUACCCCCACAGCCAGGGGAGGGGUCACGCAUGGCCUGCCCCCGCAGCCUUACCCUCGACUGCAUCAAGAGCAGAGGUCACCGUCAUCUGAGGGGCCAUUCCUAAUGUUACUGGGUUAUGUUCAGUACUGGGUUAUGUUCAGUACUGGGUUAUGUUCAGUACUAGGUUAUGUUCAGUACUAGGUUAUGUUCAGUACUAGGUUAUGUUCAGUACUAGGUUAUGUUCAGUACUAGGUUAUGUUCAGUACUAGGUUAUGUUCAGUACUAGGUUAUGUUCAGUAGGCACAAAUGAGAGAAAAUGCUUUAACUUCCUCAAUUCCUUCUUCAUUUAACCGUCUCAAAACAUUUUUAUCUGGUGUGGCAUCCCCUGAAUGCACCCUUGAUGAUUGGCAGAUACCUGUGACAUUGCUUCAACUCAGAGAAAACCAGCCUGCUGAGAUCCUAAAUAAAGUCUGCUGAAACACC
This is a long non-coding RNA of Oncorhynchus tshawytscha (Chinook salmon), 1523 nucleotides long. RefSeq lists it as uncharacterized. The record is from RefSeq and is a predicted model, not a curated record. Lineage: Eukaryota; Metazoa; Chordata; Actinopteri; Salmoniformes; Salmonidae. The transcript has 5 exons.